AUGGGGUUUCUCGAGGUGGAGCAUCAGAGGCAAGGAACACAGGGCGGAAGGAUUUUGAGGGGAGUCUUGAGGGUUCCAAUCACAGAACUGUUUGUCAGUUAUUGCAGAGCUGCCUGCACCAUGUCCUGGGCUGUCCUCCUCCUCAUUCUCAGCUCGUAUUGCUCAUGUUCUGCGGCUCAGUUUGUGGUCACUCAGGAAGCUGCAAUAUCUGGGUCCAUUGGUAAUGAUGGCCGUCUGACCUGUGGGCGCAGUGGAGGCUCAGUGACUGGGGGUAACUACCCAUCAUGGUACUAUCAGACACCCGGGGGUGUCCCUAAACUUGUAGUUUACAGUACUAGCAGCAACCAAAACAAUAGACCCUCAUUGACCUCAGAUCGGUUCACCGGAUCUAUAUCAGGGGGUUUGGCUGUCCUGUCCAUUAACAGAUUGCAGGCUGAUGAUGAUGGAGACUAUCACUGCCUUCUCUAUGCUGGUGGUAAUGCACCGUACACUGUGACACAAACUGGUAGAAAACAAAGUCACAAUCCAAGCCUGCAACUCUCAAACUGAACAGCAGAGGGCAACUGUUUGUAUAAAAUGAAUCCAGAUUUAACAUUUCUAAUCUCUAAUAAAAUAUUCUAUCCCAAUUUGAAUGUAUCCAUAAUACAGUUAUGUUAUAUUUUAUUGU
Pelobates fuscus (common spadefoot toad) is the source of this 667-nucleotide non-coding RNA. Lineage: Eukaryota; Metazoa; Chordata; Amphibia; Anura; Pelobatidae. The record is from the annotation of a RefSeq genome assembly.